AAAACUUAUUUUUGCCUGUCUUACUGGUACAAGUUUUUACAAAGUAUAAUCAAAGUGGAGUUAUACCGACUAAAUAGAGAGCAACACUUUUUAAGGACUUGACUGCCUUGCUGGGUGGAGAUAUUCUGACCCGAGCACUGCGAAUUGUUGAUGAAUGACGCAACUCAGCACAAGUGGUGCGUAUUUUGCCCGAAGUUAAGUAUUGCAAGUGUGCGUGCUUUCAAGAAAACG
Long non-coding RNA from Drosophila busckii, 231 nucleotides. RefSeq lists it as uncharacterized. NCBI's taxonomy places the organism in Eukaryota, Metazoa, Arthropoda, Insecta, Diptera, Drosophilidae. The transcript is spliced from 3 exons. The record is from RefSeq and is a predicted model, not a curated record.